Molecule: long non-coding RNA, 1961 nt
Organism: Cyprinus carpio carpio
Lineage: Eukaryota; Metazoa; Chordata; Actinopteri; Cypriniformes; Cyprinidae
Source: Ensembl
GUUCAGAAAAAGUAGAUUAAAGGUGGACCUUCUGUAUGGGACCCCUACCUGGGAUGACCCUGACUAAAAUUAAACUUACAUAAAUCAUUACACAAAAUAUAUAUUUUUUUCUGAUUAUAAGCACUGGGAUUCAAUCAAAGCGAAUGUGAAACGUGCAUGUAGUGAUUUUAUCAGCUGGACACAAACCACACGGCCACCCUGAACUACUCUACGCGCCGAAACCGGACACAAAUGUCUGGACACAAUCAAAGUUUAAAGGGUUUGUCUGGACACACAUAAGUCCGUGUAAAUAAAGAGUCGUUUCCUGAUCACAGCCGUGUCCGAUGAAGAAUCAAACCUUCACUCAAGCAGCGGACCCUUCAGUGCACCAGCUUUAUAAAGUGAUCUCCCGCCGAAACCGAAACAAAGCGCAAAGUUGAUUGAUCGCGGAAGUUUUCUCGACUUGAUCAGACUAGAGAUCUGGUGAAACCCAAAGCGCGAUGCCAGCAGCGCAUGACGGCUGAGACGCACUUCUCUCGCCAGCGCUGGAAUGGACGCGCCUCUCGCCGGAGCACCAGCUCAAACUAGACCUAAAGCGCGUAUUUAAGGUUGUUGGGUUCUUUUGCCUCGCUCGGACCGCUGUUGAAGUUUUCUGUGAGAAACAUGUAAGAGGCGUUGGACGCCGCUGGACCAUGUCCAUCUUUCCAAGCCUUGACUGGUGCGCGCCAGAGUCCCUCAUCAUCCCAUGGUCAAUGUGUGUGAACAGGCCUGCUGUCUGUGUGACUGUCAUGCUGCUGCUCGCAGCGGCCCACAGUAAACGUGCCUGUGAUUAUACUGCCAUCAUCAGCACCUACAGGGCUCUCAUCCUGGUUGAGCUCCAGAACCUGAAUCUGACUGGUGCAUUUGACUUGUCAAAAGAAAAGGACCACUGUCCGUCUGAGAAGGUUCACCGUAUCCUGCGAUAUAUCUAUAAUAUGACCCAGAUCUUCAGCUGCUUGAGUGAGCGGCAGAGACAGCAUGCAGAUCACAUGACGAAGGUGGUGGGACAGAUGGAGCUGCUCAUCACACGAAACUGCCGCAAACCAGAGAGACUGGCGAGUAGACGGAAAAAAGCAUCUUGCAAACCAGGGAAGAAAGCAAAAGGAAGACAGCGGCGGAGAGUGAAAAUGAUGGGAAUGCUUAUAAACUGCUGGCAGAGGCUGCUGAGUGUGACCGCUUAUUAAAUUACAGCAUACACAGGUCUCAGUUCAGCUCCACUACACAUUAUUUAAAACAUUAUGCACAUUAACUUUCCCUUCAUCGUUAUUUAUUCACUUUCACUUUUUAAUAAAAAAGAAACACCGAGUGUUUUGUAUAAUACUCCUUCGGUGUAAUAAUAAGCUGAGAUUGUGUCGAACACGUAAGACAUUGUAUGGUUAUACGUUUCUACUUCUGGUUGUAUAUCUUUUAUUUGAGAGCACUUAUAUAUGUUUUGUGUAUAGCAAGUUUAAAAGCUAUUAAACAGUUACAUGCACAGUUAGAUGCACAUAUACACAUGGACACUCACAUCUGGUGCUGCACAUUGAGCCAAAACUACAACUCUAAUAAUUUAAAGUUGACAACGUUAUUCAUGUUCUCAUGGUUCCAAUGCUAAUAAUUGUACAUUCACAACAUAAUUACUCAAAAUAAGCUGUCUCAGUAACUUAUCUCCUACCUUUUUUUAGUGGAUUCAUCUUUUAAAUCGUGUGUUGGGUAGAAGAAGGUGCUUAUUUGUCUGAAUUACUUUGAAGUUUUAUUGGAUAGUGUAUUGGAUUUUAUUGGAAACUGUCAGACAUCAAUUUGCUGCUUAGGUGCUGCUGAUUUGUCUUGUUUUGUUGAUUCCUUCUGUAAGUCCACUUUUUCUGUAGGUAGAUUUAAAAAUAAAUUAAUAAAAACUCUGAAAAGACUCAAACAGUGGCAUGUGUCUUUUUCAAACUUUAUUUUAUUUUAUUUUAUUUCAUGUU